Molecule: ribosomal RNA, 468 nt
Filed under: uncultured bacterium
Lineage: Bacteria
Description: partial 16S ribosomal RNA
Rfam family: Bacterial small subunit ribosomal RNA
Source: RNAcentral
GACGAACGCUGGCGGCGUGCUUAACACAUGCAAGUCGAACGGAAAGGCCCUGCUUUUGUGGGGUGCUCGAGUGGCGAACGGGUGAGUAACACGUGAGUAACCUGCCCUUGACUUUGGGAUAACUUCAGGAAACUGGGGCUAAUACCGGAUAGGAGCUCCUGCUGCAUGGUGGGGGUUGGAAAGUGUCGGCGGUUGGGGAUGGACUCGCGGCUUAUCAGCUUGUUGGUGGGGUAGUGGCUUACCAAGGCUUUGACGGGUAGCCGGCCUGAGAGGGUGACCGGCCACAUUGGGCCUGAGAUACGGCCCAGACUCCUACGGGAGGCAGCAGGGGGGAAUAUUGCACAAUGGGCGGAAGCCUGAUGCAGCAACGCCGCGUGCGGGAUGACGGCCUUCGGGUUGUAAACCGCUUUCGCCUGUGACGAAGCGUGAGUGACGGUAAUGGGUAAAGAAGCACCGGCUAACUACGUG